This 1209-nucleotide long non-coding RNA is filed under the name Numida meleagris (helmeted guineafowl). Its description in RNAcentral is "lncRNA (ENSNMEG00000008149.1)". Lineage: Eukaryota; Metazoa; Chordata; Aves; Galliformes; Numididae. The record is from RNAcentral.
CGUUUAAUUUCCUUGCUGCUUUGCCUCUGACUGCUGCCUCCAGACUCAGACGAGGUCUUCAGCUCAGAAGUGCAGUUUGUGGGGGGCUGCUGGGGCUGAACAGAAGCGGCGGUGUCACAACCCGUGCCCAGAUGUCCCCAUGCAGGCACUAAGUGCCAGCCCCUCCGCUCCUACCCCAACCCAGAGCCAGGCACAGCGCUGCUGGCAUACACCUGGCGUGCAAGGAGCACCAAGCUCUGGGUGCCAAAUGUAUCACGUGGGCCACGCGUUGGCCACAGAGGAGCCACGGGGACCUGCACUGCCCUUGCUUUGUCCCCCUCCUGCACAGCACCAUGCAGGGCCGAGCUGCGGCUCUGGGUGUGUUUGGUGCACAGCUGGCAUUGUGUUCGACCAUGCAGGAGAAGAUUCUGUGAUUCCAUGGCUCUAUGGCUCUAUGGUUCUGAGAGCACGUGCAGUGCCCAUGGGGCACUGCCAGCUGUGAGGGGCCGGCGGUGCUUUUUUUUAAAGGAAAGCUCAAAAAAGGUCUCACUCCUUCCAGGCAGUAGUCACAUGCCAGCGUCACACAUGACCUUUUCAGAUCAACCCGAGAGGGCAAAAAGCAUUUUCUUAGGAGCCUGAUGUGGGGAAUGGUGAUGUGGGCCGACAUCUCCCCAGCAGCGCCCACGGGAUGCAGAGUGGUGCUGAGUGGCACAGCACACACUGGGGCUCCAGCCCUUGGGAGGGGGCACUGCUGCAAACCCAGUGAGGAACCGGCUCCUGCAGGGACCAGAGUGCUGACAGGGGGGGGACACGGCCCCGCACCUGGGCAGGCUCUGGCCUGGGGAGGGCUGCACGACCCCGGAGCCACCCCUGCUGCUGCCAUGUCUCAGAGCAGCACACAGCAAUGGGGCCGUGCACCAGAAGAGAAAACAGAAUGCAGCAGAAGCACCCUCCCAUCCCCCAGCGCAUAUAAUCCAUGCUGCCAGCAUCGCAGGCACUCUAUUUCUUUCAUCCCUAUCUACAGCAAUCUAAUUCCACGCGUACAGCGGGCACCACGCACGCCGAGCGCUGCUGUGUGGGCUCAGACAGCGGCUGAGGAGGGGACGGAACCAGCUCGGCACAGCGGGACCGGUGUGCACUGCUGCGCUGCCUUCACGCGUUGCACUUGUUUACUUUCCAUAUCAAAAACCGACAGAAUAAAGGAUCCUCAGCUCCAGUCAACAACAAAAC